UACGAGGGGGGCGAGCGUUGUUCGGAAUUAUUGGGCGUAAAGAGCUCGUAGGCGGUUUGUCGCGUCGGCCGUGAAAUCUCCACGCUUAACGUGGAGCGUGCGGUCGAUACGGGCAGACUUGAGUUCGGUAGGGGAGACUGGAAUUCCUGGUGUAGCGGUGAAAUGCGCAGAUAUCAGGAGGAACACCGGUGGCGAAGGCGGGUCUCUGGGCCGAUACUGACGCUGAGGAGCGAAAGCGUGGGGAGCGAACAGG
RNAcentral lists this ribosomal RNA (253 nucleotides) under uncultured bacterium. RNAcentral describes it as "partial 16S ribosomal RNA". It matches the Rfam family "Bacterial small subunit ribosomal RNA", at positions 524 to 776 of the family's 1533-position model. The record is from RNAcentral.